UACACUCCUACGGGAGGCAGCAGUAGGGAAUCUUCCACAAUGGGUGCAAACCUGAUGGAGCAAUGCCGCGUGAGUGAAGAAGGUCUUCGGAUCGUAAAGCUCUGUUGUUAGAGAAGAACACGUGCUAGGUAACUACUAGCGCCUUGACGGUAUCUAACCAGAAAGUCACGGCUAACUACGUGCCAGCAGCCGCGGUAAUACGUAGGUGACAAGCGUUGUCCGGAUUUAUUGGGCGUAAAGGGAGCGCAGGCGGUCUGUUUAGUCUAAUGUGAAAGCCCACGGCUUAACCGUGGAACGGCAUUGGAAACUGACAGACUUGAAUGUAGAAGAGGAAAAUGGAAUUCCAAGUGUAGCGGUGGAAUGCGUAGAUAUUUGGAGGAACACCAGUGGCGAAGGCGAUUUUCUGGUCUAACAUUGACGCUGAGGCUCGAAAGCGUGGGGAGCGAACAGGAUGAGAAACCCGAGUAGUCCCAUGA
This 476-nucleotide ribosomal RNA is filed under the name uncultured organism. RNAcentral describes it as "partial 16S ribosomal RNA". It matches the Rfam family "Bacterial small subunit ribosomal RNA", at positions 332 to 800 of the family's 1533-position model. The record is from RNAcentral.